RNAcentral lists this long non-coding RNA (1360 nucleotides) under Daucus carota (carrot). RNAcentral's name for it is "long non-coding RNA (DCAR_LNC003028)". The record is from RNAcentral. Lineage: Eukaryota; Viridiplantae; Streptophyta; Magnoliopsida; Apiales; Apiaceae.
UUUGUUUUUAUCUUUCAGGAAAUAGCUUUCAGAAGUUAAAUUAAGUCCUAAUUAGAAAUUUGGAAAAAUAUUUUAGUUUAUUUGGUACAUGAAAGUUAAAUAUUUAUAGAUAAGGAUAACUCACUGAAACUUGCUAUAAACUCACGAAAAAAUGAAUAUUAAUUCUUAAAAGAGAAAAAUAAUAUAUGUCAAAUUAGUUAAUUUCUUUUCCCCAUUGCCUAAUAUCCAACUAUCCGAACCCUUUCAAAUUUGCAGAGCAGCAAUUAGAUAAUAACAUUAAAAACUCAGCCCAAAAAUAUGCCCAAUAACAUUAUAGGGUUGAGAACUUAGAAUCGUGACUGUCUUAGGCUGUGUUCACUUGGAUGGAAUGGAAUGAGGGGAGAAUGGAAUGAAAAACUAUAUAGAAUUUUUAUGGAGAAAGAAGAAAGUAUGAGCUAAUAGUGACUAAAUAUGAAUGAGUUCAAUUUAUUUGUGUUAAAGAUUGUAAAGAAAUAUGAUGUAGAGAUGGAAUGAGCAUUCCUUCCAAAACAUGUGGGAUAGAAUUCUAGUUAAAAUAGUAUGAAUGGAAUGAUUGAAGGAAUGAAAAUUGUAUACAUUUUUUUUUAUCAACACUCUUUUUAAGUACAAAAUUCAUUCCAUUCUCCCUCCAUUUCAUUCACUCCAAGUGAACACAACCUUAGGGUUUUAGGUGUGUCAUUCACUCGGAGAAGGAGACAUGGCAAACAACCGGAGCUCUUUCGAGAAAGUUAAGAGCGUAUUUCAUGGAAAAUGGGGCGAAUUAAGGGCUUUUUAUGGCAGUGAGCGGGUUAAGAAGUUGCGGACUUAUGCUGGGUUGUGUGGCGGGAGUUUCGUCGUUAUCGGUGGUGCUUGGAGUACCGUGGACAAGCUUAAGCACUGGAUUGGCCAUCCAUCGAUCGAUAACAAGGUCGAUGAUAGCGAUAAGAAGGUCGAUGAUAUUUUGCUUGGCAGGCGCGACCUUUCGCAUCAGAUUUCUGCUUAUCUUGAGGCUGAAGAUGCGGCAGCGAGGACAGCGGAUGCGGCAGCGAGGAUGGCGGCGGCAAACUUUAGAAAAGAUUAGUACGGCCUUCAAGAAGCUUCUGUAGCUGCAGCUACAGAAAGAUCAGCUCAAAACUUGCCAGUUUAAUACCCCAAGGAUGGUACCUUGUUAAAUAAUUUGUGAAAUGUAACUCUAUUACUAUUGUGUUAUGUCAAUUAUGAAUGAUAUUAUCCCUGAGUUGUUAUUAUUUUAUUUUAUUUUAUUUUGCUUAAAAAAAAAACCUUUCAAAUUUUUUAUAUAUGUCAAAUUAGUUAAUUUCUUUCCAGUCAACAAACAUUUAGCAAUAAUGUUCUAAAACAUUCC